Molecule: ribosomal RNA, 407 nt
Filed under: Ixodes persulcatus (taiga tick)
Lineage: Eukaryota; Metazoa; Arthropoda; Arachnida; Ixodida; Ixodidae
Description: partial 16S ribosomal RNA
Source: RNAcentral
UAUUUUGACUAUACGAAGGUAUUGAAAUAAGAUUUUAAAUGAGUGCUAAGAGAAUGAUUGAACAAUUAUAGGCUUUCUUUAGUUAAAUAAUUAAAUUUAAUUUUUUUUAGUGCAAAAGCAAAAAUUAAAUUUAGGGACAAGAAGACCCUAUGAAUUUUAAUUUAAUUUAUAAUUUGAAAUUUUAAAUUAAAUUUGAUUGGGGCGAUGGAAAAAGAAUGAGUAUCUUUUUUAGUUUUAAAAAUUGGUUCCGUUUUUAACGAUUAAAUGAGAAAAAUACUCUAGGGAUAACAGCGUAAUAAUUUUGGAUAGUUCUUAUAGAUAAAAUAGUUUGCGACCUCGAUGUUGGAUUAGGAUUCUUUCUUGGCGAAGAAGUUAAGAAAAAGAAGUUUGUUCAACUUUUAAAUUCC